This 579-nucleotide ribosomal RNA is filed under the name Naganishia friedmannii. Its description in RNAcentral is "partial large subunit ribosomal RNA". It matches the Rfam family "Eukaryotic large subunit ribosomal RNA", at positions 53 to 621 of the family's 3401-position model. The record is from RNAcentral. Lineage: Eukaryota; Fungi; Basidiomycota; Tremellomycetes; Filobasidiales; Filobasidiaceae.
GAGGAAAAGAAACUAACAAGGAUUCCCCUAGUAACGGCGAGUGAAGCGGGAAGAGCUCAAAUUUGAAAUCUGGUAGCCUUCGGUUGCCCGAGUUGUAAUCUAGAGAAGUGUUUUCCGCGUUGGCCCAUGUACAAGUCCCUUGGAACAGGGCGUCAUAGAGGGUGAGAAUCCCGUCCUUGACAUGGACCCCCAAUGCUUUGUGAUACACUUUCAACGAGUCGAGUUGUUUGGGAAUGCAGCUCAAAAUGGGUGGUGAAUUCCAUCUAAAGCUAAAUAUUGGCGAGAGACCGAUAGCGAACAAGUACCGUGAGGGAAAGAUGAAAAGCACUUUGGAAAGAGAGUUAAACAGUACGUGAAAUUGUUGAAAGGGAAACGAUUGAAGUCAGUCAUGCUCUUUGGAUUAAGCCGUUCUGCGGUGUAUUUCAUUGAGCGGGGUCAACAUCAGUUUUGAUCGCUGGAAAAGGGCAGGAGGAAGGUAGCACUCUCGGGUGAACUUAUAGCCUCUUGUCGUAUACAGUGAUUGGGACUGAGGAACGCAGCAUGCCUUUUGGCCGGGAUUCGUCCACGUACAUGCUUAGG